This is a non-coding RNA of Leptonychotes weddellii (Weddell seal), 139 nucleotides long. Lineage: Eukaryota; Metazoa; Chordata; Mammalia; Carnivora; Phocidae. The record is from RefSeq and is a predicted model, not a curated record.
UGCCUCCAGACAGUAAGUUGAUACAGCCAUGAAGCUCACCUCAUUUGUCUCAGGAAUUAGAGUCCUGCAUAUCCAGGAUGAAAUUGAGAUUAUGAAGCUCCUGAGAGAAAGACACAGCGAGAGAGGGAACACAAACGGG